UGGGGAAUAUUGCACAAUGGGCGAAAGCCUGAUGCAGCGACGCCGCGUGAGGGAUGACGGCCUUCGGGUUGUAAACCUCUUUCAGUAGGGACGAAGCGCAAGUGACGGUACCUGCAGAAGAAGCACCGGCUAACUACGUGCCAGCAGCCGCGGUAAUACGUAGGGUGCGAGCGUUGUCCGGAAUUACUGGGCGUAAAGAGCUCGUAGGCGGUUUGUCACGUCGUCUGUGAAAUCCUAGGGCUUAACCCUGGACGUGCAGGCGAUACGGGCUGACUUGAGUACUACAGGGGAGACUGGAAUUUCUGGUGUAGCGGUGGAAUUCACAGAUAUCAGGAAGAACACCGAUGGCGAAGGCAGGUCUCUGGGUAGUAACUGACGCUGAGGAGCGAAAGCAUGGGUAGCGAACAGG
RNAcentral lists this ribosomal RNA (409 nucleotides) under bacterium. RNAcentral's name for it is "partial 16S ribosomal RNA". It matches the Rfam family "Bacterial small subunit ribosomal RNA", at positions 355 to 776 of the family's 1533-position model. The record is from RNAcentral.